ACUUCACCCCCUUUACACAACCCACCCCCUCACCACCCCCUACCCCCCCCCCCCUAAAUUUUAUUUUUUUUUUUAAAUUCUUUAUCUAUCUUUUAGUUUCAACAUUUCUACAAAACCCACCCCCUACCACCCCCCCCCACACCCCCACCACUAAAAUUUUUUUAUUAUAUUUUCUCCUUUUCUCUACAGUAACCGCACACACCUAGCAACCCCCCUUCUUCACAACCCCCCCCCCCCCCCCCCCCCCAAAUUUUUUUUUUUUUUUUUAUUUAUUAAAAAAAAAAAAAAAAAAAAAAAAAAAAAAAAAAAAAAAAAAAAAAAAAAAAAAAAAAAAAAAAAAAAAAAAAAUACUCUGGAAAUCAAUAAAACACAUAAAUGUAUAAUCAAAAAAAAAAGAUCAAUAUACUCAUAAUUAAAAAAAAAAAAAAAAAAAAAAAAAAAAAAAAAAAAAAAAAAAAAAAAAAAAAAAACCAUAUAUACUUUACUAC
RNAcentral lists this unclassified non-coding RNA (488 nucleotides) under Melitaea cinxia (Glanville fritillary). Its description in RNAcentral is "misc RNA ENSMCXG00005022538.1". Lineage: Eukaryota; Metazoa; Arthropoda; Insecta; Lepidoptera; Nymphalidae. The record is from RNAcentral.